Molecule: ribosomal RNA, 253 nt
Filed under: uncultured bacterium
Lineage: Bacteria
Description: partial 16S ribosomal RNA
Rfam family: Bacterial small subunit ribosomal RNA
Source: RNAcentral
UACGUAGGGGGCAAGCGUUGUCCGGAUUUAUUGGGCGUAAAGAGCGUGUAGGCGGCUAGACAGGUCCGCUGUGAAAACUCGAGGCUCAACCUCGAGACGUCGGUGGAAACCGUCUGGCUAGAGUCCGGAAGAGGAGAGUGGAAUUCCCGGUGUAGCGGUGAAAUGCGCAGAUAUCAGGAAGAACACCUAUGGCGAAGGCAGCUCUCUGGGACGGUACUGACGCUGAGACGCGAAAGCGUGGGGAGCGAACAGG